RNAcentral lists this unclassified non-coding RNA (309 nucleotides) under Hevea brasiliensis (rubber tree). The record is from RNAcentral. Lineage: Eukaryota; Viridiplantae; Streptophyta; Magnoliopsida; Malpighiales; Euphorbiaceae.
AGUUCUAAGGCCAGUGCUUGGAUCCUUGCUUAAUAGGGAUCUCACAACUUCCAAAUGCCCCAUCCUUGCAGCAGAAUGAAGAGCAGUUUUACCAUUAUUCCGAGCAAUUUUAACUAGAUUUGAAUCUGUUUCCAGAAGGAGAUUCACCACAUCAAUGUAUCCCUGAGUGGCAGCUGUGUGUAAGGCAGUUGUACAAGAUAAAUCUGCGGUCAUGGCCAAGUUGGGGAACCCAUGCAAGAGUUCCUUCAACACCUCAAGAUGACCCUGCUUAGCUGCAAUAUGGAAUGGAUCAAAUCCAUUCCUAGCUGC